UUUGUUUUUGUUUUCAAAUAAUCUAAUUUAACUUUUAAAGCCUACUGUUCAUUUUCAUGGGAAGUUCAUUCCAUAUAAAAGACCACGGUGAAUAGCAGAUAAUUUCACAGGUUAAACUACAUAGAUCUGAUGCUAUGAUUUGCAUAAAAUAUUUGCAUCUUGAAAGGUUUACUGGAAAUGAAACCUGGCAGUAUCUAGAAAAGUUGUGUUCAGUGCAAAAAAAAAAAAAAAGGGGGGGGAGCUGAGUUUAAUAUUUCAUCAAGAGAAGCACCCUGUGAAGACUUGCAACAUGUUUAUUUUUGAAAAGCAAUUGCUUUUGGUGCUAGUAUAUCUUUUUUCUUUUCAGGACAAAGCUGCAGCUUGAACCACCUCGUGUGUUGUAUCUUUUAGUAGCAUUCCUCCAAAUAGAUAAUUAUUUGCUUUGCUUAGUUUGGAACAGGAGCCGUAGUUCCUCUACCAGUCUUUUCCGUUGUAGAAAUGUGUAGUGGUGUUAGCCUAUGCCGUUUCUAUACCCCUGACCUUUUCAGGUAUGAUUAGUUCCUUUUUCUUUUCAGAGUUUUCAGUAUUUGUUUCAUAUGAAGUUUUGUAAGCAUCUGUUACUCAAGUGUAGUAUAACCACAUUGUGCAGAAGUCCUGCUACAGAAGCAGUAAGUCUUUUAAGCAUGAAAUUUUAACUCAUGGAACAAAUAUACAAUGUCUUUUUGAUCUAUAUUUUUAUUUAUUGCUGAUUUUGAUGUCACGUUCUGGUACUGUAUCAAGGCAGAAUGACACUCUUCAUCUAGCUGCUUAGAUACUCUUCUUGUCUACCGUUUAAGUAUUAUGAACGAGUUGCAGAAUAAUCAAAUCAGUAUACCUGCACACGUGUAAAGUAUUCCGUUUAAAAAGGGGUUAGUCAUGUACAGUGUGGCAAGAUAACUUUGGAUCCAUUAAGAGUUAGUUGUAGAAGCAUGCAUGUGGGCAUUUGUUACCCAGUCAUGCCAAUGGAAAAGAUAAUGCAACGCCAAUGGAAACAAUGGUCCUUGUGGGAAGGUUGUGUAAGGCUGGGGGCUGUGUCAGGACCCUGGACCCAACCAGCAUUUAGAGUUGCACUGAUUGUUGCACAGCUGGAAUUUUACGCCCGGGCUCAGCCAUGCAAGGUUCUUCACUUGGCUGUGCCUCGCUUUCCCUGGCACUAGAGCAAGGAGAGUAACACAUCCUUCCCUUGCAAAGACCGUAUUGUGUAGUAACAAGGGGAAUAUUUGCAACUUUAAAUACCCGCUGGCUGCCUAAAUCAGGCAAAACACUUUGCUCACUACUGUCAGUAAAAGCUGAGGAUCCACUCUCGAAUGUGAUCAAGAUACUAAAAGACACACAGUAGUUGACUUUCAAGUUUCCUGUUCUCUGCUACUUAACCACCUUAAAUUUCAUAUGCAAAUCUCUGUAUUUUACCUAAAGUGAGACCUAAAUUUUCACACUGAAGAGUGAUACAGAUCACUUAUAUCUACAGCAACAGUGGUCAAAAGAUAGUCUGAUUUUCUGUCAUAGCAAAAUAAUAUUCCAUUUCAGUGACCAGAAUCAUGACUAACACCUGACUUGUUCUUUUUUUCCCUUUCUGCAACUUACUUUUAUGAAUCUGAAUGUUGCUGUAAUGUAUAAAUGAAGGUUUUCUUGCAUCCUCUGUAAUUGAAGUAUUUUACAUGGUGGUUGGAGUCAUUAAAUGAUGUUGGAAACAAGUGCCUGCCACCAUCAUUUCUAAUGGAAUUUGAGAAGGAUACUCCACGAAACCAGUGGAGUUUGUAUUUUAAAAAAAAAAAAGAAAGAAAGAAAAAAGAAAAAAAAAAGAGUUGGAGUGUUGUUUUACUUUUGUUCUAUUUUUAAGAUGCAUCCAAUUAUCAGUGCUGCUUGGAAAUGGAAUUUUCUUUGGAAAACAGGGGGCCUUAACUUAACCUGGGACCGUUUGUGUUUUACUUGUUUCUAUUUAAAAAGGAAAUCAUAUGAAUUUCCCAGAUACCAUUGGUACUUGCACACUUCUCAGAAGUAUUAUGAAGAGCUGGGCUGGUGGAAGGAUGUUUUACAUAUUGUUAACAUAUAUGUGGAUAUUCUUAUAUUAUUGUACAUGUUUGGGAAAAUAUCACACAACUUUAAAAAUGUUACAAAGAUGUAUGUAUCUGACUUUUUCCUUUGGAAAAUAUUAUAUAUUUUUAUUUGUAUUUUUUACUUUUUUAAGUUCAUCUAUAUGUGCAGUUAUUUUUGUAUUGCAAGUGGUCUCAUAAAUGCAGUAGAGGAGAUAAAAUACAAUGAAAAGUAAUUUGGCAAGGAUUACACUGCUUUGGGUGGGG
RNAcentral lists this long non-coding RNA (2318 nucleotides) under Gallus gallus (chicken). The record is from RNAcentral. Lineage: Eukaryota; Metazoa; Chordata; Aves; Galliformes; Phasianidae.